CUGGGGGCUGCGGGGUUGGUGUCUCUGAGAAAAGCCCAAAAGCUGCUCUCAUCGGUUAUCAAUAGGCAAUAAAUUACAUUAACCUCCCCAUGCUGAAGCAGCUCUGCCCAUGGUGGCUCUGUGUGAGCAGAGAGUGAAAAGGCAUCCGAGUGUGACCAGACACCAAUGGAUAAGGAGAUUCCUGGAGCAGAGGUUUGCCUUCAAGCAAGGAGAACUGUGUGAUGUGCAAGACUUCUGGCUCUGCAAGCAGCUCAACAAGGGGUUUGAUGGAUCUUAUCUUAUCUCACCUUGGUGCAUCUCUCUGCUCAAAUCUGAUUCAGCACAUGAAAAGUCCAGCAGCAGACUCCUGCGACCACGCCUGGAGCUGGGCUGACAGACGGAGCAAGGACGACGUCCUGAGCUUUGGCUUGGCUGCUGUAUGGGGAAUAAUUCUUGUGGGCCCCUUUCUGCUUGUGUGAGCGUUUUCGGAGCAUCUUCAGAAGCACCAGCCCUCUCCUCUGUCGUAUUAUUUUUGUUUGUAAAUCCUGGCUGAAGAAGGAUCUCGGCUCAAACAUAAAGCUCCAUCUGACCUGAGCAGCACGGGGCAAAUCUGGGAUCAAGCCUGUGAAGAAAACGGGUUUAUUAGCCUUAUAAAUUGAAUCUGGAGUUCUUGGUGCAAAUAACCUAGUACCCUCCCAAGUGAUUCUGCUUUAAUGAGAAUUGUCAAAGCUGCAGGUCUGACAGAUGUGAUAAAGAUUGGACAACACUAGGGGUGGACAGCCAGGUUCCAGUGUGCUUCUGCCCAGCCUAGAAGAGCUCCCUCAGCAACACCACGGCUUCUCUCCCUACGGAUGGAGGGAAGUUCCCAACAUAUUCUCACAUUCCUCCAGUUAAAAACUUCCCACCCACAGACAUCCCAGAGCAUCCCUUUGGAGAACGAAACACAAAGGGAAUCCAAGAUGAUGCUUGGCUUCCUGCUGCUGAGACAAAUAGUGAGGCUGUUAAACUCUACCAUUGUCCCACGUCCUUUAGAGUGGAAAGAGUUUGUACUCCUUGCUCUAAGAUUUACGCAGCAGUGCUCUCCAACGCCAGGCAGCUGGGAAGUCCCCAUGUGAAACCUCUCCACAAGCUGAUGGGAAGCAGCAAGACCCACACUGCCUUCAUCAUUGUCAUCCCCAUCAAUGGAGCCAACGGGUCAGAAAACUCCCAUCCGUUACACCUAUGGCAUGCCAUCAGCUCGCAGGUGAUGAGGAAAAGCAGAUGCAGUUUUUGGUGAGCCAGUUGUUCUCCCGUUUUGCACAUCCCAAAAUGAGCUUCAAGAUUCCAAGCAUGCUUCACGCUGUAGGGUUCUGUCCACAGGGUCUGGGCUGGAUGUGACCUUAGGAGUGAAUGCAGUGUGGGGAACAGAAAAAUUCAGCAAAAAAAGAGCAAAUGUGUUAACGGAGGGCAAAAAAAAAACACACAUCAUGUAGUUCCCUCUAUUCUUAGUUUUAUGCAUUCGGCCAGUUCUGGAGUGACUGAAAACCUGAGAAUUUGAAAGGAAUGUUGUGAUUUCAGCCGAGUUCAAUAUUCUCUUCAAUAUUUUGAAAAGUGGAAGUCUUAGGCAGCUGAACAGAACUUUGCCCAUUGACAAUUCCUGCUUAGAGAAUAAACUUAGAAUAAAUAAAGGCAUCAUAGUGGGAAUUGGCUGGAGUAAACCAUUCUGUGCUGCAGUAAAAUUCAAUUCUAGGUGGUUUCAGUUGCGAUCUCCAAUACAAACCCUGAAUGUUGCUGUCCUGCAAACGCUUCUUUAUUGGAAAGCAGUCCCAGUGUCCCAGAAAACCCCCAAAGGCCUUCCUUUGCCAUAUGCCUGCACUCAGCUGCAAGUUGUUCAUGCUGCGCUCAUGACGGUGGGCAUCCACCUCACUUCAGCCUUUCAGACCCGAAGUAUCAAGCCUAAACCUACUGCCACGGUUCCCUUGUUUUUCAGAGGGAGGUUGGUACUGCAGCCUCCUACAGCUCUGCAGGCAGGGUGCUUGCUUCCAGCUGACCACGCUCAGGGAGAUGUACUAGGCUACUCGGUGAUUCCUAUUCCUCCUCCUGUUACGUUUUUCUUCCCUACCUGCCUUAACAACACUCUGUUUACGCUAUCUCAGGCCAAGGAUCAAAGUGCUAUUCCCCUCUGCCAAGAGCGAUUUAGCAGUGCCUUCCUUGGACUUGCUUUGUUAUAACUUUUGCAUUGCCCGGGUGCUGAGUUAUUCAUUAUGCGCAGGCUGCAGAGACAAUUGUAUGCGUUCCUCUUCCUGUCUGUGCAAUAUUUUGACAUUUCCCUGUGUCUAUUGGAAUUCAGUCCUGUCUUUAAAUAAAUAUCUUGCUUUCCCAUGGGAAGAGCUCCAGGAGCUCCU
This is a long non-coding RNA of Gallus gallus (chicken), 2363 nucleotides long. The record is from Ensembl. Lineage: Eukaryota; Metazoa; Chordata; Aves; Galliformes; Phasianidae.